RNAcentral lists this ribosomal RNA (161 nucleotides) under uncultured bacterium. RNAcentral describes it as "partial 16S ribosomal RNA". It matches the Rfam family "Bacterial small subunit ribosomal RNA", at positions 393 to 539 of the family's 1533-position model. The record is from RNAcentral.
CAUGCCGCGUGUAUGAAGAAGGCCUUCGGGUUGUAAAGUACUUUCAGCGGGAGGAAGGGGGUAAAGUUAAUACCUUUGCUCAUUGACGUUACCCGCAGAAGAAGCACCGGCUAACUCCGUGCCAGCAACUUCGGUGACUGAGCGGGCUGGCAAGGCGCAUA